UUCGUCACACUAUCAUUAACUGAAUCCAUAGGUUAAUGAGGCGAACCGGGGGAACUGAAACAUCUAAGUACCCCGAGGAAAAGAAAUCAACCGAGAUUCCCCCAGUAGCGGCGAGCGAACGGGGAGGAGCCCAGAGCCUGAAUCAGUGUGUGUGUUAGUGGAAGCGUCUGGAAAGGCGCGCGAUACAGGGUGACAGCCCCGUACACAAAAAUGCACAUACUGUGAGCUCGAUGAGUAGGGCGGGACACGUGGUAUCCUGUCUGAAUAUGGGGGGACCAUCCUCCAAGGCUAAAUACUCCUGACUGACCGAUAGUGAACCAGUACCGUGA
This 329-nucleotide ribosomal RNA is filed under the name Escherichia coli. RNAcentral's name for it is "partial 23S ribosomal RNA". It matches the Rfam family "Bacterial large subunit ribosomal RNA", at positions 139 to 506 of the family's 2925-position model. The record is from RNAcentral. Lineage: Bacteria; Pseudomonadati; Pseudomonadota; Gammaproteobacteria; Enterobacterales; Enterobacteriaceae.